Molecule: ribosomal RNA, 541 nt
Filed under: uncultured Clostridium sp.
Lineage: Bacteria; Bacillati; Bacillota; Clostridia; Eubacteriales; Clostridiaceae
Description: bacterial SSU rRNA
Rfam family: Bacterial small subunit ribosomal RNA
Source: RNAcentral
AGGGAUAGCCACCGGAAACGGUGAUUAAUACCUCAUAAUACCGAAAGUUCACAUGGACAGUCGGUCAAAGAUUUAUCGGUACAGGAUGGACCUGCGUCUGAUUAGUUAGUUGGUGAGGUAACGGCUCACCAAGGCGACGAUCAGUAGCCGACCUGAGAGGGUGAUCGGCCACAUUGGAACUGAGACACGGUCCAAACUCCUACGGGAGGCAGCAGUGGGGAAUAUUGCACAAUGGGGGAAACCCUGAUGCAGCAACGCCGCGUGAAUGAAGAAGGCCUUUGGGUUGUAAAAUUCUGUUCUGAGGGAAGAAGAAAGUGACGGUACCUCAGGAGAAAGCCCCGGCUAACUACGUGCCAGCAGCCGCGGUAAUACGUAGGGGGCAAGCGUUGUCCGGAAUCAUUGGGCGUAAAGAGUACGUAGGCGGUUUGGCAAGCGUAAGGUUUAAGGCAACAGCUCAACUGUUGUUCGCCUUGUGAACUGUCAAACUUGAGUGCGGGAGAGGAAAGCGGAAUUCCUGGUGUAGCGGUGAAAUGCGUAGAUA